UACGUAGGGGGCAAGCGUUGUCCGGAUUUAUUGGGCGUAAAGAGCGUGUAGGCGGUUUGGUAGGUCCGCUGUGAAAACUCGAGGCUCAACCUCGAGACGCCGGUGGAAACCACCAGGCUAGAGUCCGGAAGAGGAGAGUGGAAUUCCUGGUGUAGCGGUGAAAUGCGCAGAUAUCAGGAAGAACGCCCGUGGCUAAGGCGGCUCUCUAGUACGGUACUGACGCUGAGACGCGAAAGCGUGGGGAGCGAACAGG
RNAcentral lists this ribosomal RNA (253 nucleotides) under uncultured bacterium. Its description in RNAcentral is "partial 16S ribosomal RNA". It matches the Rfam family "Bacterial small subunit ribosomal RNA", at positions 524 to 776 of the family's 1533-position model. The record is from RNAcentral.